GUCUGAGUCCGAGCGCUCGCUGACUGAGCAGAGGAAGACAGCGCUUCAGAAGAGCUCAGAGAUUCUGGACACCAGCGGGUCCCUGAAGAACCACACAGAAGGGCUGGUGUUUAGCGUCAGUGAAGUGACCAGCAGGUUGAGUCUGGUUAGAGCGAGCGUUCAGAACGUCACACAGCUGCUCCCAGAAGCCCUGAACAUCCUGAGAAACCUCCCUAAUGGCAGCAGAGCUGAAGUCCUCGAGGCGAAGCAGCAGCAGGAAGCAGCGAAUGCAUCUUUACAGGAAGCUCUGGAGCGUCUGGAGGAUUAUCGUGUGAAGCUGCAAGAGUCGUCUUCUGCGGUGGGCUCGGCUAAUAACAGCAUCAGGAGCACUAACCAGCUAGUCAGAGACUCAGAGG
Sinocyclocheilus rhinocerous is the source of this 395-nucleotide long non-coding RNA. RefSeq lists it as uncharacterized. The transcript has 3 exons. Lineage: Eukaryota; Metazoa; Chordata; Actinopteri; Cypriniformes; Cyprinidae. The record is from RefSeq and is a predicted model, not a curated record.